GGUAGCUAGCGGGAGGCCUAACACAUGCAAGCCGAGCGGUAUUGUUUCUUCGGAAAUGAGAGAGCGGCGUACGGGUGCGGAACACGUGUGCAACCUGCCUUUAUCUGGGGGAUAGCCUUUCGAAAGGAAGAUUAAUACUCCAUAAUAUAUUGAUUGGCAUCAAUUAAUAUUGAAAGCUCCGGCGGAUAGAGAUGGGCACGCGCAAGAUUAGCUAGUUGGUGAGGUAACGGCUCACCAAGGCGAUGAUCUUUAGGGGGCCUGAGAGGGUGAUCCCCCACACUGGUACUGAGACACGGACCAGACUCCUACGGGAGGCAGCAGUGAGGAAUAUUGGUCAAUGGGUGCAAGCCUGAACCAGCCAUCCCGCGUGAAGGACGACUGCCCUAUGGGUUGUAAACUUCUUUUGUAUAGGGAUAAACCUACCCUCGUGAGGGUAGCUGAAGGUACUAUACGAAUAAGCACCGGCUAACUCCGUGCCAGCAGCCGCGGUAAUACGGAGGGUGCAAGCGUUAUCCGGAUUUAUUGGGUUUAAAGGGUCCGUAGGCGGACUUAUAAGUCAGUGGUGAAAGCCUGUCGCUUAACGAUAGAACUGCCAUUGAUACUGUAAGUCUUGAGUAUAAUUGAGGUAGCUGGAAUAAGUAGUGUAGCGGUGAAAUGCAUAGAUAUUACUUAGAACACCAAUUGCGAAGGCAGGUUACCAAGUUAUAACUGACGCUGAGGGACGAAAGCGUGGGGAGCGAACAGGGUUAGAUACCCUGGUAGUCCACGCCGUAAACGAUGCUAACUCGUUUUUGGGGCUUCGGCUUCAGAGACCAAGCGAAAGUGAUAAGUUAGCCACCUGGGGAGUACGCUCGCAAGAGUGAAACUCAAAUGAAUUGACGGAAGGGCGAAUUCCA
Molecule: ribosomal RNA, 896 nt
Filed under: uncultured Cloacibacterium sp.
Lineage: Bacteria; Pseudomonadati; Bacteroidota; Flavobacteriia; Flavobacteriales; Weeksellaceae
Description: bacterial SSU rRNA
Rfam family: Bacterial small subunit ribosomal RNA
Source: RNAcentral